Molecule: long non-coding RNA, 735 nt
Organism: Hemicordylus capensis (graceful crag lizard)
Lineage: Eukaryota; Metazoa; Chordata; Lepidosauria; Squamata; Cordylidae
Exons: 2
Source: RefSeq, a predicted model, not a curated record
CCUAGAUGUUUAUUCUUUUCAACACAACUCCAGUGCAAGGAACUGGGAAUUUAAAAUGUGCAUCCAACUAAUGUCUGAAUACAGAAAGCCAUUGAGCUGGAUCCAAAGGUUCAUUUCCUCAGAGGAAGGAGUCCUUAUGUUGGAAUAAUAUUCUUUUAGGAGAAAGAGAACUGUUACAACCAACACAUAGGACCCAUGAACUUCUAAGAAAUUUCUUCCUUCCAUUUAUCAAGCUCUGCACAUCCCAAGAAGACAACUCAGCCCACUGGAUUACUCAUAAAACACUAACUUGAGCAAUAAUCAACUCCUAAAGGGGGACUUCAUAGUCAAAACAAUAUCUACAGUUCAGUCAAAUUUGCUAUGAACCACACCGCCCAUUGAGAUAAUCAGGAGAGGUUUGUCUGCAGUUGCCACAGGCUCGUCUGGUGACUACUCAGGGACGGGCCUUCUCCAUUGCUUCCCCCGAGGCUUUGGAACACACUUCCUGCUGAAAUAAGAGCCUCCCCAUCUCUUACAACUUUUAAAAGGGCAGUCACAACGCAUUUGUUCACCCAGGCUUUUAAUUAGAUACUGUUUUAAUUGUGUUUUAAUAGUUUUAACUUUAAAAAUUGUAAUUGUUGAAAUGUUUCAAUCUUUUUAUUGGUUGUUUUUAUUUUCUUGUAAAUCACCCAGAGAACUUGUGUUUUGGGCAGUAUAAAAAUAUGUUAAAUAAAUAAAUACAUACAUACAUACAUA